AAAAGAUUAAAAGCAUGCAUGUCUAAGAACUUAUCUUGUAACGAUGAAUCUGCGGACGGCUCAUUAAAACAGCUAUAAUCUACUCGGAAUUGUUUCCUAAACGGAUAUCUGCGAUAAUUUUGGAGCUAAUACGUGCACUUAACGGAUACUUUACGGUGUCUGGCAUUUAUUAGAUUAAGGCCAAUCGGGGCAACCCGCUUUGGUGAACUCUGAAUAACUUCGCGGAUCGCAUGGUCUUGUACCGGCGACAGUUCGAUCGAGUAUCUGCCUUAUCAACUUUCGAUGGUAGUUUAUUCGACUACCAUGGUUGUGACGGGUAACGGAGGAUAAGGGUUCGACUCCGGAGAGGGAGCCUGAGAAACGGCUACCACAUCCAAGGAAGGCAGCAGGCGCGUAAAUUACCCACUCUCAAUGCGAGGAGGUAGUGACUAUCAAUAACGAGGCAGAUCUCUAUGAGGCCUGCUAUUGGAAUGAGCACAAUGUAAAUGCUUUAACGAGGAUCUAUGAGAGGGCAAGUCUGGUGCCAGCAGCCGCGGUAAUUCCAGCUCUCAAAGUGUAUAUCGUCAUUGCUGCGGUUAAAAAGCUCGUAGUUGGAUUUGAGUUUAGAGAUGCGGUACUCCUUGUGAGCCACUGUACUCUCUAGCUGUUCUGUUGGUUUUCCACUGUUUGCCUUAACCGGUAGGCUUUGGAUGCCAGCGUGUUUACCUUGAAUAAAUUAGAGUGCUCAAGACAGGCGUUUCGCUUGUAUAUUCGUGCAUGGAAUAAUGGAAUAAGACUUCGGUUUGUUUCGUUGGUCUUGGAAUCGAAGUAAUGGUUAAGAGGGAUUGACGGGGGCAUCCGUAUCGCUACGUGAGAGGGAAAUAUUGGAAAAGGGUUAGGCCCCUC
This 885-nucleotide ribosomal RNA is filed under the name Rhabditolaimus sp. EF2. RNAcentral's name for it is "SSU rRNA". It matches the Rfam family "Eukaryotic small subunit ribosomal RNA", at positions 38 to 940 of the family's 1831-position model. The record is from RNAcentral. Lineage: Eukaryota; Metazoa; Nematoda; Chromadorea; Rhabditida; Diplogasteridae.